UGUAUAAUGGGUCAGCGACUUAUAUUCUGUAGCAAGGUUAACCGAAUAGGGGAGCCGAAGGGAAACCGAGUCUUAACUGGGCGUUAAGUUGCAGGGUAUAGACCCGAAACCCGGUGAUCUAGCCAUGGGCAGGUUGAAGGUUGGGUAACACUAACUGGAGGACCGAACCGACUAAUGUUGAAAAAUUAGCGGAUGACUUGUGGCUGGGGGUGAAAGGCCAAUCAAACCGGGAGAUAGCUGGUUCUCCCCGAAAGCUAUUUAGGUAGCGCCUCGUGAAUUCAUCUCCGGGGGUAGAGCACUGUUUCGGCAAGGGGGUCAUCCCGACUUACCAACCCGAUGCAAACUGCGAAUACCGGAGAAUGUUAUCACGGGAGACACACGGCGGGUGCUAACGUCCGUCGUGAAGAGGGAAACAACCCAGACCGCCAGCUAAGGUCCCAAAGUCAUGGUUAAGUGGGAAACGAUGUGGGAAGGCCCAGACAGCCAGGAUGUUGGCUUAGAAGCAGCCAUCAUUUAAAGAAAGCGUAAUAGCUCACUGGUCGAGUCGGCCUGCGCGGAAGAUGUAACGGGGCUAAACCAUGCACCGAAGCUGCGGCAGCGACACUGUGUGUUGUUGGGUAGGGGA
RNAcentral lists this ribosomal RNA (625 nucleotides) under Escherichia coli. Its description in RNAcentral is "partial 23S ribosomal RNA". It matches the Rfam family "Bacterial large subunit ribosomal RNA", at positions 609 to 1235 of the family's 2925-position model. The record is from RNAcentral. Lineage: Bacteria; Pseudomonadati; Pseudomonadota; Gammaproteobacteria; Enterobacterales; Enterobacteriaceae.